UUACGUUUGCGUCAUUAUGCGAGCGCGAUGGCAUGGUGAUCGUGAUUAUUGAACAAAAAAAGAGAGAAGAAACCUGGCCGUGCUAGCUGUUCGUUUUCAGUGGCAGCUGCUUGUUUUGAGGUGACGAACAACCAUGGACAGCCAACUUCUUGCUAAAGCCCGCUUCAGGGACGUUCCGUUGAAGAAAAUCCCAGCAUGGUUUUCUGCCAGACCUUUCAAACCCAUUUACACUGUGGACUUGUGGUGUAAAAUGUACUCGAAGACGUUCGUCAGAGUCCGCGGACCCGGCAGCGCUCGAUUUUUCCAUGUCAUGGCGUUUUCCUCCCUCUGCUGGUACACUCUCCAGUAUCAAACGAUGUGUGCUCGUCACGAACCUCAUGAGUUCCGCUGAAGACACUCUCGGCGAAGUUGGAGUAGGUGCUGUGCAUCGUUGCUUUACUGCGUUAUAUCUUUCUGCUUGUAUUUAUCAUGCAAAUGUCUUUUGUGAAUAGUGCCCUCCCGUUACUUUCUAUGGGAUAUUGGCAAGAUAUCUCCUGUCUUUUAUUGCUGUGUACGGUCACUAUAAUCUCGCUGAUCCUAACUUUGGACUGUAGCCCCAUUGCUAUGCAUAUUUUUGAAUCAACAAUUCUGGACAUCCGUACACUGUGGACAGAACGCUAGAGCUACCCAAACGUA
Long non-coding RNA from Sycon ciliatum, 675 nucleotides. RefSeq lists it as uncharacterized. The record is from RefSeq and is a predicted model, not a curated record. Lineage: Eukaryota; Metazoa; Porifera; Calcarea; Leucosolenida; Sycettidae. The transcript has 2 exons.